Molecule: microRNA, 23 nt
Filed under: Schmidtea mediterranea
Lineage: Eukaryota; Metazoa; Platyhelminthes; Tricladida; Dugesiidae
Description: sme-miR-747-3p
Gene: sme-miR-747-3p
Source: miRBase by way of RNAcentral
CUUCAUUAUCAUUUCAGAUUGUA